AUCAGUGAUGACCUCCACCAUGACCUGGUCCCCUCUCCUCCUCACCCUCCUCACUCACUGGACAGGGUCCUGGGCCCAGUCUGUGCUGACUCAGCCGGCCUCGGUGUCUGGGUCCCUGGGCCAGAGGGUCACCAUCUCCUGCACUGGAAGCAGCUCCAACAUCGGUGGUAAUAAUGUGGGCUGGUACCAGCAGCUCCCAGGAACAGGCCCCAGAGCCCUCAUCUAUGGUAAUAGUUACCGACCCUCGGGGGUCCCUGAUCGAUUCUCUGGCUCCAAGUCUGGUAGCACAGCCACCCUGACCAUCUCAGGGAUCCAGGCUGAGGACGAGGCUGAGUAUUACUGCUCAUCAUGGGAUGAUAGUCUCAGAGGUCACACGGUGCUCCAGGCCUGUGGGGAAGUGAGACAAAAACCCACUUACCCAUCUGCAAAGUCAGGCAACUCAGCCACCCUGACCACCUCUGGGCUCCAGGCUGAGGAUGAGGCUGAUUAUUACUGCUCUUCCUAUGACAGCAAUCUUCAUGCUCACAUCGUGCUCCAGGCCUGUGGAGAAGAACAGAAGGUCCUGUGUUGUGAGGGUCUCGGCCUCUCCAUAACCAAUGUCAAGGUUGGGCCCUACCCUUGUGGUUUUGGUGAUGACUGCAGGAGGUCCUUCCGCUACAACACAGGAAACUUUGAAAAUUAA
Non-coding RNA from Nyctereutes procyonoides (raccoon dog), 682 nucleotides. The record is from the annotation of a RefSeq genome assembly. Lineage: Eukaryota; Metazoa; Chordata; Mammalia; Carnivora; Canidae.